This is a long non-coding RNA of Oreochromis aureus, 267 nucleotides long. RefSeq lists it as uncharacterized. The record is from RefSeq and is a predicted model, not a curated record. NCBI's taxonomy places the organism in Eukaryota, Metazoa, Chordata, Actinopteri, Cichliformes, Cichlidae. The transcript has 3 exons.
AUCCAGUAUAUUUGACAAAUCGGCUGACUGUGAAGGGAACACAGAAGAAAGUGUUUCCAUAUGAAAUAAUUCCCUACUGUGCAGUGAGUGUUUCCAGUGUUUGGAUUCCUGGGUCCUCUCCAGCCUUCGUUGUCCCUAUCAGGAUAUCAGAGACAAGAUUAUAGAUCUGCACACAGCUGGAAUCGGAUACAAGACCAUUAGCGAGAAGCUUGGUGAGGAGGUAACAACUGCUGGUGCAAUUAAAUGGAAAUGGGAGAAAUAUUAAAG